CCUACGGGAGGCAGCAGUGGGGAAUAUUGGGCAAUGGAGGAAACUCUGACCCAGCAAUGCCGCGUGAAUGAAGAAGGUCUUCGGAUUGUAAAGUUCUUUUGUCAGGGAAGAAGUCAAUGACGGUACCUGAAGAAUAAGCCCCGGCUAACUACGUGCCAGCAGCCGCGGUAAUACGUAGGGAGCAAGCGUUGUUCGGAAUGACUGGGCGUAAAGGGUGCGUAGGCGGUUGUACAAGUUAGAAGUGAAAUACCCAGGGCUCAACUCUGGUGCUGCGUCUAAAACUGUAUGACUUGAGUGCAGUAGAGGCUGGUGGAAUUCCUAGUGUAGCGGUGGAAUGCGUAGAUAUUAGGAGGAACACCAGAGGCGAAGGCGGCUAACUGGACUGCAACUGACGCUGAGGCACGAAAGUGUGGGGAGCAAACAGGAUUAGAUACCCGAGUAGUC
Molecule: ribosomal RNA, 444 nt
Filed under: uncultured bacterium
Lineage: Bacteria
Description: partial 16S ribosomal RNA
Rfam family: Bacterial small subunit ribosomal RNA
Source: RNAcentral